This is a long non-coding RNA of Anguilla anguilla (European eel), 2179 nucleotides long. RefSeq lists it as uncharacterized. The record is from RefSeq and is a predicted model, not a curated record. Lineage: Eukaryota; Metazoa; Chordata; Actinopteri; Anguilliformes; Anguillidae. The transcript has 2 exons.
GGGGCGGGAGUUGAGACCGGGAGCAUUAUCACACACACUCAAAAUAACCCAGAAAGCAGGCGGGCCCAUAUUAGGUAAUGAAUCUCCAACAGAAAGCCAAGUGAACGAGAAAUUUAUUGACAAGCCGUGCUACCGUGUGCGUGUGCCUGCGGAGAGAACAAAAUAACCCCCGGCCUUCGAGAGCUGACGCAACUCCAGCACCAUCACACGCUCCUGGUCAGACGCUGCCCUAACGCCACGGAAACAAGUCUGAGCACCGGUGUUAGGUCUUAUGUCCACUGACAAGAAGUGUGAAGCAGUUCUCUGGGUUUUGGAUUUUAGGCUUGGGGGUGUUUCCGAGUCUGUGUCCGGACCGGGGCGAGUACUUCACAGCUGCAGCCCCCUAAGCGUGAUACUGUACCUCAGUUUCUCCAGAAAAAGAACAAAAAAAAAAACAAACAAAAAAAACAACUACAUUUAGCCCUUUUACCAGAUGCGCUUAUCCUGAGCAAAUUGCUCGGCUUACCUUCUUUUACAUGGUUAGUUUGUACAGCUGGAUAUUUACUGAAGCAGUUCGGGUUAAGUACCUUGCUCAAGGGUGCAACAGCAGUUGGCCCACCUGGGGAUCUACCCUAUAACUUAAGAGUUACAGGCCCAUCGUAUGAACCGUUAUGCUGCUCUGGCCCCUGGUCGGUGUUCAAUUUGGUAAGAUUUGGAACUGUAGGCUUGGCACACUUCCCUGGAGGGGGUCUGAUUUUAUUAAGAAAUAAGCAAUUACAGAACAGCCAACAGUGUGGAGUAGACUACUAUGCUCACAGUUGGUGUGCGUCCGGCUUGGCUGUGCUCCACAGCCUGUUUGAUGUGGUUUCCAGAAGGCCUGAACUGCAGUCCCUGGCCAGUCAUUCUGUCAUCGGCAGACCUGCUGUCUCUUUAGCCUCCAUUGACUCCUUUUAACCUCCUUCUACCUUCCUCACAUUUAAACAGCUGCGUGCCUCUCCUCUUUCUUCUUCUUUGGAAAUGAUCAGCUCCUAUAUUUUUUUGUAGCUGGAGAGAUUCAGCUCGGUUCUUCUACCUUCCUCACAUUUAAACAGCUGCAUGCCUCUCCUCUUUCUUCUUCUUUGUAAAUGAUCAAACCCUUAUUAUUUUGUGGCAGGAGAGAUUAAACUUGUUUAAUCUCUCCUAAAUUAUCCCACUGUAAUCAUAUUCAAGUCUUAGUUGCUGGGACAGUUUUACACCUACAACAGAUAUCUGAUGUUUGUUGUAUGUCUUGACUAAAUUAGGGAGUAUUUCUUUGCGAAGGUCCUUGGUUUUUUUUUUGCCCUAACAUGGACAUGCUAUGUUCUUGGUUUGGGUAUCUGGGAAAGAUAAAAAUGUUACAUUCAAAGAUAAAUGAAAUCCUCGCUGUUCUGAUAAAUUUCUGCUGAAUGGAUUUUUAUCUAAAAAAAGGAGUAUAUUUUAAAGGUUUUAAAAGGAGCAGUUUUAUGAUAUUUUUUUUCUUGCAAGUCUGUGGAAGUCUUCGGGCACAACAAAAUGUUAAAUGAUUUAUGUAAGCAAGAUUUGAUGUUUUGUUAUCGAAUAAAAUACAUUAGCUACCUCUGGUAUUUUGUUCUUUCAGAUAGAUUGGAUAAAGUUAAAGGUGCUGCAGAGCAAUCUUACUUUGCAUAAUUCUUCUUUUGCAGGUAGCCAAAGUACUAUAAGUGUCAGCUCCUGACAUUAAACUCAGAGUCUCGGCGUAAACUCCCCUGUGCGUAAUGCUGUAGCUACUGCCUGAAAUCCCCGCCUGAUUAACUAAAACAUUUCACAAGUUGUAAUAACAAGACUGCUGUUUUUGUAAGCUCGGUUUUUUUUCUCUUUCCGUUAACUGGAAAACACAGCAACAUACAAAUACAGUGAGCUCAAGAAAUUCAUCACUCACCUUGAAAAUUUUUACUGCACGCCCACCGAAAGAAACACUUGCGCAAAGAGUUGUGCAAAUACUGUCAAUGGCCAGAGGGGGCAGCGUCUCCAUCUAGCUUUGGACAAUUUUUUUUCCCCCCCUUAUCGAAGAGUUGAGAGAAAAAGAGAUGAUUAAGCAUUCUUAAUUAGAUGGAUCAUUUAAGAGGGCUGUACUGGCUACCCUUGGACACCUUUCCUGCAUAUCACAGCAUGUCACAGGUAAAAUGAUAGGCUGAAGAGAUACUUCCAACUUGCAAAAAAAAAA